CCAGGACCACCACCAGGACCAACCGACGGGACCCAGGAUUUUUUUUUUUUUAUUUCUUUCUUUUUUUUUCUUUUUUUUCUUUUUUUCUGUUUCAGGUGGUCCUAUUGAGGAGGCCUCCACGUGGCAGGACUGGUAACAGCUUACCGUAUUUAUCCGCAAAUAAGCCCCCUCCCCCUUUUUUUCUUUUGAUUUUAAAAUAAUGAGAUAAGUGAUAGCAAAUAAAUCCUCCCCAAAUUUACCUUUUACAUUUGGAAAGAUGGGUUAUUUAAGGAUAAAUACGGUACACAUAAACGUAUAUUUAUGUGGGCUGGCUAACAUCCUCGUACAUAUCUCCCCUUUAAAUCUUCCCAGAGAGAGCCAACCUUUUUGGUGUUUGAUGGUUUAUUCUUACAGAACGAACAACCAAUUUUGGAAAAAAUCAUUCCACUGGUAGGGAUUGCACCAAGUUUUCUUUGGAGAAGGACAUUUAAUGUAAAAAAAAAAAAAAAAGGGAUGUCAUCUUGACUUGACCAGAUGGUGUAGAAUUUAAUUUGCUCAAAUUGAGUGUCCUGAAAUUUUCUUGGUUAAUAAAUAGAUUGGAAAAUGAC
Molecule: long non-coding RNA, 587 nt
Organism: Pecten maximus
Lineage: Eukaryota; Metazoa; Mollusca; Bivalvia; Pectinida; Pectinidae
Exons: 2
Source: RefSeq, a predicted model, not a curated record